GAGUAAAGAUUUCGGUCGCUUUGGGAGGAGCUCGCUUACUAUCAGCUUGUUGGUAGGGUAAUGGCCUACCAAGGCUAUGACGGUUAGGGGGUGUGAGAGCAUGACCCCCAGCAUUGGCACUGAAACACUGGCCAAACACCUACGGGUGGCUGCAGUCGAGAAUCUUCCACAAUGGGGGAAACCCUGAUGGAGCGAUGCUGCGUGCGGGAUGAAGGCCUUCGGGUUGUAAACCGCUUUUGUAGGGGACGAAAUUUUUGACGGUACCCUUUCGAAUAAGAGGUUGCUAACUCUGUGCCAGCAGCAGCGGUAAUACAGAGACCUCAAGCGUUAUCCGGAUUUACUGGGCGUAAAGCGUCUGUAGGGGGUUUAUUAAGUUCCAAGUAAAAUUUCAAGGCUCAACUUUGAAUUCGCUUGGAAAACUAAUAAACUGGAGUCUGGCAGAGGUGCAUGGAACUUGUGGUGUAGGAGUGAAAUCCGUUGAUAUCACAAGGAACACCAAAGGCGAAGGCAUUGCACUGGGCUAGCACUGACCCUGAGAGACGAAAGCGUGGGGAGCAAAACGGAUUAGAUACCCGUGUAGUCCACGCCCUAAACGAUGAAUGCUAAAUGUUCGGGGAUUCGACCCCCUGGGUGUUACAGCUAACGCGUUAAGCAUUCCGCCUGGGAAGUACGGCCGCAAGGCUAAAACUCAAAGGAAUAGACGGGGAUCCGCACAAGCGGUGGAGCGUCUGGUUUAAUUCGACAGUAAGCGUGGUACCUCACCAGGGUUUGACAUCCCUUGACAGCCUUGGAAACAAGGUUUCCUUCGGGCAAGGUGACAGGUGCUGCAUGGUCGUCGUCAGUUCGUGCCGUGAGGUGUUCCGUUAAGUCGGGAAACGAACGAAACCCCUAUUGCAUGUUACAAUUUCUCAUGCAAGACUGCCCGGAUAUACUGGGAGGAAGGUGGGGAUGACGUCAGAUCUGCAUGGUCCUUAUACCCUGGGCGACACAGGCGCUACAAUGGCAGAGACAAAGGGUUGCAAAACCGCAGGGUGAAGCUAAUCCCAAAAACUUUGUCUAAGUUCGGAUUGAAGGCUGCAAUUCGCCUUCAUGAAGCUGGAAUCGCUAGUAAUCGUGAAUCAGCCACGUCACGGUGAUAUGUUCCCGGAUCUUGUACUCACCGCCCGUCACACCAAGAGAGUUGGUAGCUCCCGAAGCGUCCCGUUUUAGCGGGGCAUCACGGAGAGAUCAGCGAUAGGGGUGAAGUCG
RNAcentral lists this ribosomal RNA (1248 nucleotides) under uncultured organism. RNAcentral's name for it is "bacterial SSU rRNA". It matches the Rfam family "Bacterial small subunit ribosomal RNA", at positions 199 to 1488 of the family's 1533-position model. The record is from RNAcentral.